RNAcentral lists this ribosomal RNA (445 nucleotides) under uncultured bacterium. RNAcentral's name for it is "partial 16S ribosomal RNA". It matches the Rfam family "Bacterial small subunit ribosomal RNA", at positions 354 to 796 of the family's 1533-position model. The record is from RNAcentral.
GUGAGGAAUAUUGGUCAAUGGACGGAAGUCUGAACCAGCCAUGCCGCGUGCAGGAAUAAGGUCCUAUGGAUUGUAAACUGCUUUUAUUCGGGAAUAAACCUCUUUACGUGUAGGGAGCUGAAGGUACCGAAGGAAUAAGCACCGGCUAACUCCGUGCCAGCAGCCACGGUAAUACGGAGGGUGCAAGCGUUAUCCGGAAUCAUUGGGUUUAAAGGGUCCGCAGGCGGGCUAUCAAGUCAGAGGUGAAAUCCCACAGCUUAACUGUGGAACUGACUUUGAAACUGAUGGUCUUGAAUUAAGUGGACGUUGGCGGAAUAUGACAUGUAGCGGUGAAAUGCAUAGAUAUGUCAUGGAACACCGAAAGCGAAGGCAGCUAACGAUACUUAUAUUGACGCUCAUGGACGAAAGCGUGGGUAGCGAACAGGAUUAGAAACCCCAGUAGUCC